This 253-nucleotide ribosomal RNA is filed under the name uncultured bacterium. Its description in RNAcentral is "partial 16S ribosomal RNA". It matches the Rfam family "Bacterial small subunit ribosomal RNA", at positions 524 to 776 of the family's 1533-position model. The record is from RNAcentral.
UACGGAGGGUGCGAGCGUUAAUCGGAAUUACUGGGCGUAAAGCGCACGCAGGCGGUUUGUUAAGCUAGAUGUGAAAGCCCCGGGCUCAACCUGGGAUGGUCAUUUAGAACUGGCAGACUAGAGUCUUGGAGAGGGGAGUGGAAUUCCAGGUGUAGCGGUGAAAUGCGUAGAUAUCUGGAGGAACAUCAGUGGCGAAGGCGACUCCCUGGCCAAAGACUGACGCUCAUGUGCAAAAGUGUGGGUAGCGAACAGG